GAUGAACGCUGGCGGCGUGCCUAAUACAUGCAAGUCGAGCGAACGGACGAGAAGCUUGCUUUUCUGAUGUUAGCGGCGGACGGGUGAGUAACACGUGGAUAACCUACCUAUAAGACUGGGAUAACUUCGGGAAACCGGAGCUAAUACCGGAUAAUAUUUUGAACCGCAUGGUUCAAAAGUGAAAGACGGUCUUGCUGUCACUUAUAGAUGGAUCCGCGCUGCAUUAGCUAGUUGGUAAGGUAACGGCUUACCAAGGCAACGAUGCAUAGCCGACCUGAGAGGGUGAUCGGCCACACUGGAACUGAGACACGGUCCAGACUCCUACGGGAGGCAGCAGUAGGGAAUCUUCCGCAAUGGGCGAAAGCCUGAUGGAGCAACGCCGCGUGAGUGAUGAAGGUCUUCGGAUCGUAAAACUCUGUUAUUAGGGAAGAACAUAUGUGUAAGUAACUGUGCACAUCUUGACGGUACCUAAUCAGAAAGCCACGGCUAACUACGUG
Molecule: ribosomal RNA, 497 nt
Filed under: uncultured bacterium
Lineage: Bacteria
Description: partial 16S ribosomal RNA
Rfam family: Bacterial small subunit ribosomal RNA
Source: RNAcentral